Molecule: ribosomal RNA, 460 nt
Filed under: uncultured bacterium
Lineage: Bacteria
Description: partial 16S ribosomal RNA
Rfam family: Bacterial small subunit ribosomal RNA
Source: RNAcentral
CCUACGGGUGGCAGCAGUGAGGAAUAUUGGUCAAUGGCCGUAAGGCUGAACCAGCCAAGUAGCGUGAGGGAAGACUGCCCUAUGGGUUGUAAACCUCUUUUAUGCGGGGAUAAAGGUGUCCACGUGUGGAUGUUUGCAGGUACCGCAUGAAUAAGGACCGGCUAAUUCCGUGCCAGCAGCCGCGGUAAUACGGAGGGUCCGGGCGUUAUCCGGAUUUGUUGGGUUUAAAGGGAGCGCAGGCGGGUCUUUAAGCGUGCCGUGAAAUUUUGUGGCUCAACCAGGAGAGUGCGGCGCGAACUGGAGACCUUGAGUGCGCGGAAGGCAGGCGGAAUUCGUGGUGUAGCGGUGAAAUGCUUAGAUAUCACGAAGAACCCCGAUUGCGAAGGCAGCCUGCCGCAGCGUUACUGACGCUGAAGCUCGAAAGUGCGGGUAGCGAACAGGAUUAGAUACCCGAGUAGUC